CACGUAGGGCGCAAGCGUUGUCCGGAAUUAUUGGGCGUAAAGAGCUCGUAGGCGGUCUGUUGCGUCCGCUGUGAAAACUCGGGGCUUAACCCCGAGCCUGCAGUGGAUACGGGCAGACUAGAGGUAGGUAGGGGAGAAUGGAAUUCCCGGUGUAGUGGUGAAAUGCGUAGAUAUCGGGAGGAACACCGGUGGCGAAGGCGGGUCUCUGGGCCGAUACUGACGCUCAUGCACGACAGCGUGGGGAUCAAACAGG
This 253-nucleotide ribosomal RNA is filed under the name uncultured bacterium. RNAcentral's name for it is "partial 16S ribosomal RNA". It matches the Rfam family "Bacterial small subunit ribosomal RNA", at positions 524 to 776 of the family's 1533-position model. The record is from RNAcentral.